UAGAGCAAGAGAAGUCAGGUUGUCUCUGCUUCUUUCCUAGAGCAAGGUGACACAGCCGUCACGGCAAGGUGAUGGAUUUCGAGCAAUUAAGGGAUUUUCUUCCUCUAGUGGCUCAGCUGGGCUGGAAAGCUCAGCACUUCAUGCUCCUGCUGACUUUGACUUGGUUUCCAAAGAGGCAGAAGCCACAACGAGAGCAACUUCUCUGUGGGGGUUGCGAGUCAUGGCUCCUUAAAUAGCUCAGGAUGGGUUGAGGAGCCCUGCUUUUCAGGGCAGUGCGGAGUCGUGGGUGACAGGAGGUAUUUCUCCCAAUACACAGCCCGCUGCUGCCUGCUCUGCCCCUGUGCUUUGGAGCAGGAUGCUGCCCACCAGCCCCUGCCAGGAAUGGGGUGUCCCACACAACAGGCUGCCCUGCACCAGGUCUCACCUUCGCAUAUCAUGACCUCAGAGACAAGACUUGGUGGAGGGGACAUCUGUGUCUGGGGAGCAUUUUCUGGAGCAUCGCCCAUGCAGGCAUGGUUCUGCAAGCCUUUCUGACAGCAUGUCUCAGCUUCUCUAUUCAAUUUGUUUAUUUCAUACUUUGCCACAUGCAUGAUCCCACAACUCUGUUUCUACCCAAUAUUAAUGUUUUGGAUGUGAUAGAGCAGUUGCAUUCUAAAAGCAGGGAAGAAAGUUAGCUCUGCCUGCUAUUUUGUUUGUAAACAGCUGAGGAGAUGAAGCUGUUCUUCAGCAACUGCUUUGUUGCUGGGUCUGGCUGUGCCCAUACAAAUCACCAUGUCCAGCAGUUUAUUCCUCAUGGCUUUAUUCUUUUUCUCACUGUUGUGGUACGAAACACUAACAUCAUGUCUGGGUUUAGUGUCAUUGGCAGGAGCUGGGAUUCCUUUGUGAUACUGCUGUAAAGCUGUCCCAGGCAAUUUAUACAGAUCAGACUAUUAGAGAUAAUUUUUCAACUGAGAACUAUGCUAAGGAAGGGGCCCAGGUGCUGGUAGGAAGGAAAGACACCCUGCAAAUCUGACGGGGUCAGGGAGCACUUGCACACCCGAGCUGUCCCUAGCAAGCCCUGUGCCCCUGCCCAGGCAUCUGCCCAGCGAGUGCUGCAGGGCACAUAAGCACUGCCCACUCCGAUGGAGCAGAACUUGUCUUGGUAUAAUUCCUGUACAUCUGCCCAAGAAGCCUGCAGCAGUGGGUAGGAAAGAGAAGUUUCUCUAGACCAUGGAGGCACGAGGUGGUGGGGUUCCUCAGCCUCCAUGUAGCAAGUUGCCAAGGCCAAACAGCAACAGCAGGUUGGUGUGGGUACCCAGCACCCACCAUGGCAGAAGUAGAGCUCAGGAAGUCCUUUUCACUAAAAGAUCCAGCAUAUCCGUAUGGGCAGGUCCAUCGUGGCUUCACAGAAGAGAAAUCCAAGCCCAUGGAAAGCUGCUGGGCUGUUCCCACUCUGCCCAGCUAUGCUGUUAUCUCCCACCAUAGGCUGCAGAAGCACCACGCAUCACCAAAGCUCACCUCAUUGCUCCAAGACAUAAACCUGGAGCAACAUGCAGCAUGGCAACUGUGCAGAUGGGAGCAGACUGAGCAUCUGACAGAGAAAGAGAAAAGAAGUUGCUGAAAAAUACCAGCAAGUUCGGUUCUCCUCCAGCUCUGGCCAAGCCUGCUGCUGUGGGACAGCGCUGUUGCCAGGUAUCUGGAAAGUGUCGGUUUAACAUGAUGUGCUCAUGGCUUGAGCUUUAUAAGGGUUUUAAAAUAUAUAUUAAGGAUAUAAAAUGGUAAGUCUGAAGAUUUUGCUUCAAGAUAGCCAUUUGCAAAUGAGCCCGAGUUGUCACCUAUGGCUGAAAGCUGUUUCUGGUGUUUGGCAUGUCACUUCUAUGUGAGGAUUUAUCCUAGGAUGUCACCUUUUUCUAUUCUUUUGAUUUAUAGAAUACGCUCAAAAAGUCAGAAGAGUGUUCAAUGAUCUGGCUAGUUUAGAUUCUUGUCAUCAGAGCACUGAAUUUGUGGUGAAGGCCUCACCACACACCUGAAGAUUUGGAAACCUGGAUGAUGAAAUUUCCUGGAGGAGCAACGCGUUGGGCAGAUGCCAUGCGGGUCAGCCCCUGGCACCCAGCUCACACCUCAGAAGGUUCCUGAGACUUAUGAACAUUGAUCUCCAGCAGCAGGGAAUGUGGAGGAGUUCAGACAGAAGACAAAGUGAGCUGCUGGUAACAAGGACAGAGCUAACAGAGUGGCCCAGAGAAGCCCUUACCCGGAGGUAGCCCAGCCAGGUGCCACCCCCACCCCACACUCCGAAAAGAGAACUGCCCCUGGGAAAAUAAAAUGUUUUCUUACGUUGUUCUUUUUA
Non-coding RNA from Anas platyrhynchos (mallard), 2326 nucleotides. NCBI's taxonomy places the organism in Eukaryota, Metazoa, Chordata, Aves, Anseriformes, Anatidae. The record is from RefSeq and is a predicted model, not a curated record.